ACAUACGGCUGUAACCUGCAGAGAAUUCGGGAUCCCGGCCGCUUUCCCUUGGACAAGCUGCCUAGGGCUAGAUUAGUAGUUGUCUCGGCGACGAGCAGCGAAUUCCUGGCAUUGUAUGUU
RNAcentral lists this ribosomal RNA (120 nucleotides) under Pseudomassariella vexata. The record is from RNAcentral. Lineage: Eukaryota; Fungi; Ascomycota; Sordariomycetes; Amphisphaeriales; Pseudomassariaceae.